GAAACAUCUAGACCACAGGCAGGGCAUCUGAAGAGGGACAGAGAGACAAUUAGGGGCAGUGUGGCUCCCAAGAUCAAAAACACCACCAGAGUUAAGAGUGUCAGGCUACCGGACAUAUAAUCUGUCUGCAGGAAAAGUGUGUGUGGAUGCCACAGGCUGCAGAGGCAGGAUUAAGGAGUCGGCCUCUCUGAAGGUUCCUUGGAGCAGUUGAUUAAGCACGCACAGAUAGUCGUGUACGCACACGUUCGGUGUGGAGGCUGACGCUGCUCCCAUGUGCCCCGGCGACCGAACCCUCGCACCCAUCGCCUCAACGGCGGCCGCAGAGGCCCGUGGCAGCGUCAGGCUCCAGCAGGAAGCGUGCAGACGUUGUCACUCAGGUUCAAUAGCAUUGACCUCUGACCCUGCAAAAGUACUUCCAGGUGGGGCCUCUCUGGUCUCAGCCCAGCGCGGAGCAGGGACCUCCUGCAGCUACACACAAC
This 479-nucleotide long non-coding RNA is filed under the name Betta splendens (Siamese fighting fish). Its description in RNAcentral is "lncRNA (ENSBSLG00000022109.1)". Lineage: Eukaryota; Metazoa; Chordata; Actinopteri; Anabantiformes; Osphronemidae. The record is from RNAcentral.